AUUGAACGCUGGCGGCAGGCCUAACACAUGCAAGUCGAGCGGAUGAAGGGAGCUUGCUCCUGGCUUCAGCGGCGGACGGGUGAGUAAUGCCUAGGAAACUGCCUGGUAGUGGGGGAUAACGUCCGGAAACGGGCGCUAAUACCGCAUACGUCCUGAGGGAUAAAGUGGGGGAUCUUCGGACUUUACGCUAUUAGAUGAGCCUAGGUCGGAUUGGCGCGUUGGUGGGGUAAAGGCGUACCACGGCGGCGAUCCGUAACUGGUGUGAGAGGAUGAUGAGUCACAGUGGAGCUGAGACGCGGUACAGAGUCCGACGGAAGGCAGAGGUGGCGAAGAGUGGACGAUGGGCGAAAGCCUGAUCCAGCGGUGCCGGGCGGAUGAAGAAGGGCUUCGGAUGGGAAAACACUUUAAGUGGGGAAGAACGGUAGUGAUUAAAAACCUUGCUGUUUUGACGGUACCAAGUAAAGAAGCACCGGCUAACUACGUG
This 484-nucleotide ribosomal RNA is filed under the name uncultured bacterium. RNAcentral's name for it is "partial 16S ribosomal RNA". It matches the Rfam family "Bacterial small subunit ribosomal RNA", at positions 29 to 507 of the family's 1533-position model. The record is from RNAcentral.